AUUGAACGCUGGCGGCAUGCUUUACACAUGCAAGUCGAACGGUAACAGGUUAAGCUGACGAGUGGCGAACGGGUGAGUAAUGCAUCGGAACGUGCCCGAUCGUGGGGGAUAACGCAGCGAAAGCUGCGCUAAUACCGCAUACGAUCUGAGGAUGAAAGCGGGGGACCGUAAGGCCUCGCGCGAUCGGAGCGGCCGAUGUCAGAUUAGGUAGUUGGUGGGGUCAAGGCUCACCAAGCCGACGGUCUGUAGCUGGUCUGAGAGGACGACCAGCCACACUGGGACUGUGACACGGCCCAGACUCCUACGGGAGGCAGCAGUGGGGAAUUUUGGACAAUGGGCGAAAGCCUGAUCCAGCAAUGCCGCGUGCAGGAAGAAGGCCUUCGGGUUGUAAACUGCUUUUGUACGGAGCGAAAAGGCUCUCUCUAAUACAGGGGGCUCAUGACGGUACCGUAAGAAUAAGCACCGGCUAACUACGUGCCAGCCGCCGCCGUAA
RNAcentral lists this ribosomal RNA (493 nucleotides) under uncultured bacterium. RNAcentral's name for it is "partial 16S ribosomal RNA". It matches the Rfam family "Bacterial small subunit ribosomal RNA", at positions 30 to 523 of the family's 1533-position model. The record is from RNAcentral.